Molecule: small RNA, 170 nt
Filed under: Gopherus agassizii (Agassiz's desert tortoise)
Lineage: Eukaryota; Metazoa; Chordata; Testudines; Testudinidae
Description: TUC338 (ENSGAGG00000018374.1)
Source: RNAcentral
GCGAGAUCUAAAGGCUGGAGUCCUUUAUCUAAACAACAGGUACAGCGUGAUCGUUGACAGUGCAAGCUUCCCUGUGCUGCCCUGCCACUGUGCCUCAACUUGGAGAAAACUGCUUCUGGAGGUGGGGGGAAGGUAGUUCAGCCUCCAUGCCCAUUCAGCCCUUGGCCUCU